Lotus japonicus is the source of this 721-nucleotide long non-coding RNA. RefSeq lists it as uncharacterized. The record is from RefSeq and is a predicted model, not a curated record. NCBI's taxonomy places the organism in Eukaryota, Viridiplantae, Streptophyta, Magnoliopsida, Fabales, Fabaceae. The transcript is spliced from 3 exons.
UCACUCACGUUCUCUCUCUCAGAAGCAUCACCACCAGACUUCAAUAUUUAUUCAUUUCCUUUCUUCCAUACUUUUACUUUCCUUUUCUCCUUCACGUUUUUCUUCCCCUGGCAGCAACAAACCGACGCCCACCACCUUCUUUUCCUCUUUCUUUCUUCUUCUACAUAUCACAUUUUUCUUCUUCUUCUUUUCCACUUCUUUUAUUCUUCUUUUUCUUCUUCCUUCAUGAAACAAUAACCACCAUGCUAAUUUCUUCUCCUCACAUUCCAGCACCCAAAACGCACAUAAUGGUCCCUCUUCCCUCCCUCACGUGAUUUCUCUCUUGUGCAGCACCAUGUCUUCAUCUUCCUAUACUAUGGGUACGAAGGACGGAAGCGCUUGACGACGAAGCCAAAGAACAAACGGAAGUGAGCCAACACGGGAAAGCAAAGAUAUGAUUGGAUUUGAUUUGAGUCGCAACUUAGUAAGGAAAGCGCCUAAGGUACCGAGGAUAGUGGAGCUUCUCGCGAGGGUUAGUCAGAGGAGCUAGUCUUUUAUAUAUGCUUUUAGUGAUGGGAGUCAUGCUCUAUUAUGUAACACCGGGGAAACGCUUAGUUGUACCUUGAUGUUAAGAGUUAUUUUGUGAACUCUCUUAUUUAUUUUUGGAUUAUGUUUUAUUUUGGAGUUGAAAAAUAAAUUCGCUGUGCUAUGCAUACGAUAUUAUGUCAGUAAAGUUGGGAAU